Scaptodrosophila lebanonensis is the source of this 566-nucleotide long non-coding RNA. RefSeq lists it as uncharacterized. The transcript is spliced from 3 exons. Lineage: Eukaryota; Metazoa; Arthropoda; Insecta; Diptera; Drosophilidae. The record is from RefSeq and is a predicted model, not a curated record.
AAUACAUACUUGUAGUUUAACCAUCGGCUGUUGGUUCUGUGAAAAUGGAACUCCUAUUUUAAGCUCAGGGACUUGGGCUGCCUUUGCUGCUGGGUUUGCUUGCUUCUAAACAGGGGCUAAAUUAAACAAUAGAGAACGCUAUUAAAUAAAACGGAAAUAACAAAAAUAUCAAAUAACGCAUUUUACAAACAAGAAAUGGAUAUGAAGAAAUAGCAAUAAAAAAAAGGAAUUUAGUGAGGAGAGACAGAGCCACUUGAAACUAAAAAUCAUAAUCAGAGCAUAAUACUCGAAAAGGAUUGUUAAUGGUUAAAUAGAGAAAAGCAUAGAGGAAUCAACAUCUGCGGCAAUCAGUUUCUGGAAGAACAGAACACCAACGAAGGCUGGUUAAUAAAGAGAAGUCUCCUGGGGUAGGAUGGUAUCGCAGAUGAGCAUCCCAGUUAAGAUCACGAAGAGCAAAAAGAACAAAUUGUUUCUGGACCGAUGCAAUUUAUAGGAAGCAGUUAUAAAGUGUUAAUAAACUGCUCUCCCUUGUCGAAUUCAUCCGAAAUAUUUGUAAGAAGUGACCG